GGGACACGUGGUAUCCUGUCUGAAUAUGGGGGGACCAUCCUCCAAGGCUAAAUACUCCUGACUGACCGAUAGUGAACCAGUACCGUGAGGGAAAGGCGAAAAGAACCCCGGCGAGGGGAGUGAAAAAGAACCUGAAACCGUGUACGUACAAGCAGUGGGAGCACCUUCGGGUGUGACUGCGUACCUUUUGUAUAAUGGGUCAGCGACUUAUAUUCUGUAGCAAGGUUAACCGUAUAGGGGAGCCGCAGGGAAACCGAGUCUUAACUGGGCGUUAAGUUGCAGGGUAUAGACCCGAAACCCGGUGAUCUAGCCAUGGGCAGGUUGAAGGUUGGGUAACACUAACUGGAGGACCGAACCGACUAAUGUUGAAAAAUUAGCGGAUGACUUGUGGCUGGGGGUGAAAGGCCAAUCAAACCGGGAGAUAGCUGGUUCUCCCCGAAAGCUAUUUAGGUAGCGCCUCGUGAAUUCAUCUUCGGGGGUAGAGCACUGUUUCGGCUAGGGGGUCAUCCCGACUUACCAACCCGAUGCAAACUACGAAUACCGAAGAAUGUUAUCACGGGAGACACACGGCGGGUGCUAACGUCCGUCGUGAAGAGGGAAACAACCCAGACCGCCAGCUAAGGUCCCAAAGUCAUGGUUAAGUGGGAAACGAUGUGGGAAGGCACAGACAGCCAGGAUGUUGGCUUAGAAGCAGCCAUCAUUUAAAGAAAGCGUAAUAGCUCACUGGUCGAGUCGGCCUGCGCGGAAGAUGUAACGGGGCUAAACCAUG
This 769-nucleotide ribosomal RNA is filed under the name Klebsiella pneumoniae. RNAcentral's name for it is "partial 23S ribosomal RNA". It matches the Rfam family "Bacterial large subunit ribosomal RNA", at positions 419 to 1191 of the family's 2925-position model. The record is from RNAcentral. RNAcentral also lists the same sequence under 4 other names. Lineage: Bacteria; Pseudomonadati; Pseudomonadota; Gammaproteobacteria; Enterobacterales; Enterobacteriaceae.